CACUCAUCCGCUUCGCGGAUCCCGGACCGUUGUGGGUUCCAGCUCGGUGUGUGCGACCGGCACUUAAACAACAUGGCAUGGCACCAGGGACUGUCGAAUCCCAUACCGGAGUUUCAGCUGACCUUGGAGGAGACCGCGUUGCCCCCCGAGUCGACAACGACGGGACGGAAACGGAGGAGGCGUAGCGUCCCAAGCCAGCCCGUGACAUGGGGAGCAGUAAAAGCAUUGGUCGCCGCGGCUCAACGAAGACUGGCAGCAGAUCAACAGCCAGAGACUCCUGAGACUUUGUUUGUGGCGAUUCUCGCCCAAAUCACUGCUAAUUCUGUGAUGAUUGUGUGCCUUUUGUGCCUGCUAUCUCCUGUAGGGGUUGGCUCGGAAGCGCCUCCCCCGUUAUAAGCCCGAAUGACAUAUAACAUAUGGGAAAGAUUGGCUUCAAUAGCAAAUGUUACCUGUGCGUGUGUAGUUAAUUGUACUAGUAUAAAGGUGCCCUUAGGCUGUCGAAAAAUUUUUUAACCUCUUUUAAAUUGUUCCCAUGCUGUUAAUGUUUUAUAUAAUUAUGGCCAUAUCAUCCUACCAUCAGGAUGGGUUUUUACUUGCGGUUCACGCACCUUUAAUUAUAUUCCUGCAAAUGUAAGUGAUGGCACCCUUUGCUGUUUUAGUAGAAUGAUAUUUAUAUUGCCUUUUUCUGGUGACAAUUGUAGUAAAAGAAGUGUACCCCUUUUAGAUGAUUAUAUUGCAGAUGUUGAGCUUUUGGUUAUUUUGUGUUUGUAAUCAUUGGGCUUACUUUUUGCUGCUGCUGUGUACAAUGUAUUCUUUCCUUGUUAAGAUUUUGUAAAAUUUUGCCCUGGAAAGCUCCCCAGGUUAUGUCCUUGUCUGUCUGGGAGUUAAAUAGCAUGACAAAACAAAUUGACGGCUACCAUGAGAUGGCCAAAUAUCAAUAAAUAAAAAAACGGGGAGAUGAAGGGUUAAUGUUUAGCUAGUCCACCUGGAAGCAGGCGGGGCACACCCUGACUGUUUCGUAGAAGCAAUACACACAUUGCUCUAUCCAAGGACAAGGGCUAGAUAUGAACCAUGAGAACUUGAUUGUUUGGACAGCAAUUGUGGGAGGCUUUCUUAGCCUGGGCUCAAGGCCUGAGAACCAGGAUUGUAGUAGAUAGGGGAUGGUAACUAAGUAUAUGAAUUAACGUCAUACAUUCCUUUGUGUAGCAGUGUGUAAUGCUUAGGGGGAGAAAUAUAAUAAAAGGAGAAGGUGGAAGGCGGGGGGGCAGAACGCCCAUCUCAGCUGACCAGCCUGCUU
This is an RNA transcript of Caretta caretta (loggerhead turtle), 1297 nucleotides long. RefSeq lists it as uncharacterized. The record is from RefSeq and is a predicted model, not a curated record. Lineage: Eukaryota; Metazoa; Chordata; Testudines; Cheloniidae.